AUGCUUGGGGUUCUCUUUUCCCCCUCUUCUUUGUCAUAUUCUUCUCCCAAAAGCCCUCGUCUUCCUCUUCGGUAACCUAGACAAAUUUGGUAACUUGGUGAACUAGCAAGGUUAGUUUGAGGUUCUAAAGUCCGCCUCCGUGAAUUAGCGUUGAUCCUUCAAAUCGAACGUGGAGAGCAAGCGCAGGCUAUUCGUUAGAUAAAGCUCGAGAAACUUAAUUAAUGGCGAACAGGAAUCAAAUCCCCACUAGCAACUCAGCUCGUAUUGCAAUGAUUGCAGAUGAGCUACAGCAAGCCUGUUCCAGCAAUCCUGGAGAUUCCAUCAAAGGAUCAUCCGUAUGAUCCGGCACAUGAUUCUAUUCUUUCACGGGUUAAAUACCUGUUUUCUGCAGAAUGGGUGGCAUCUGGGAGGCGUUAAAUGCAGAUGUACACUUGUAUGGCUCCACUGUCUCAUCAUGUUUCUAUUCUCUUCAUGCUUUGAAU
Molecule: long non-coding RNA, 482 nt
Organism: Hibiscus syriacus
Lineage: Eukaryota; Viridiplantae; Streptophyta; Magnoliopsida; Malvales; Malvaceae
Exons: 4
Source: RefSeq, a predicted model, not a curated record